UUUAUGGAGAGUUUGAUCCUGGCUCAGGAUGAACGCUGGCGGCGUGCCUAAUACAUGCAAGUCGAGCGAACGGACGAGAAGCUUGCUUCUCUGAUGUUAGCGGCGGACGGGUGAGUAACACGUGGAUAACCUACCUAUAAGACUGGGAUAACUUCGGGAAACCGUAGCUAAUACCGGAUAAUAUUUUGAACCGCAUGGUUCAAAAGUGAAAGACGGUCUUGCUGUCACUUAUAGAUGGAUCCGCGCUGCAUUAGCUAGUUGGUAAGGUAACGGCUUACCAAGGCAACGAUGCAUAGCCGACCUGAGAGGGUGAUCGGCCACACUGGAACUGAGACACGGUCCAGACUCCUACGGGAGGCAGCAGUAGGGAAUCUUCCGCAAUGGGCGAAAGCCUGACGGAGCAACGCCGCGUGAGUGAUGAAGGUCUUCGGAUCGUAAAACUCUGUUAUUAGGGAAGAACAUAUGUGUAAGUAACUGUGCACAUCUUGACGGUACCUAAUCAGAAAGCCACGGCUAACUACGUGCCAGCAGCCGCGGUAAUACGUAGGUGGCAAGCGUUAUCCGGAAUUAUUGGGCGUAAAGCGCGCGUAGGCGGUUUUUUAAGUCUGAUGUGAAAGCCCACGGCUCAACCGUGGAGGGUCAUUGGAAACUGGAAAACUUGAGUGCAGAAGAGGAAAGUGGAAUUCCAUGUGUAGCGGUGAAAUGCGCAGAGAUAUGGAGGAACACCAGUGGCGAAGGCGACUUUCUGGUCUGUAACUGACGCUGAUGUGCGAAAGCGUGGGGAUCAAACAGGAUUAGAUACCCUGGUAGUCCACGCCGUAAACGAUGAGUGCUAAGUGUUAGGGGGUUUCCGCCCCUUAGUGCUGCAGCUAACGCAUUAAGCACUCCGCCUGGGGAGUACGACCGCAAGGUUGAAACUCAAAGGAAUUGACGGGGACCCGCACAAGCGGUGGAGCAUGUGGUUUAAUUCGAAGCAACGCGAAGAACCUCACCAAAUCUUGACAUCCUUUGACAACUCUAGAGAUAGAGCCUUCCCCUUCGGGGGACAAAGUGACAGGUGGUGCAUGGUUGUCGUCAGCUCGUGUCGUGAGAUGUUGGGUUAAGUCCCGCAACGAGCGCAACCCUUAAGCUUAGUUGCCAUCAUUAAGUUGGGCACUCUAAGUUGACUGCCGGUGACAAACCGGAGGAAGGUGGGGAUGACGUCAAAUCAUCAUGCCCCUUAUGAUUUGGGCUACACACGUGCUACAAUGGACAAUACAAAGGGCAGCGAAACCGCGAGGUCAAGCAAAUCCCAUAAAGUUGUUCUCAGUUCGGAUUGUAGUCUGCAACUCGACUACAUGAAGCUGGAAUCGCUAGUAAUCGUAGAUCAGCAUGCUACGGUGAAUACGUUCCCGGGUCUUGUACACACCGCCCGUCACACCACGAGAGUUUGUAACACCCGAAGCCGGUGGAGUAACCUUUUAGGAGCUAGCCGUCGAAGGUGGGACAAAUGAUUGGGGUGAAGUCGUAACAAGGUAGCCGUAUCGGAAGGUGCGGCUGGAUCACCUCCUUUCU
Molecule: ribosomal RNA, 1554 nt
Filed under: Staphylococcus aureus
Lineage: Bacteria; Bacillati; Bacillota; Bacilli; Caryophanales; Staphylococcaceae
Description: 16S ribosomal RNA
Rfam family: Bacterial small subunit ribosomal RNA
Source: RNAcentral